ACGCUCGACACCUACGGGACGCAGCAGUGGGGAAUAUUGCACAAUGGGGGAAACCCUGAUGCAGCGACGCCGCGUGAGCGAAGAAGUAUCUCGGUAUGUAAAGCUCUAUCAGCAGGGAAGAAGAUGACGGUACCUGACUAAGAAGCACCGGCUAAAUACGUGCCAGCAGCCGCGGUAAUCUGAGCGGGCUGGCAAGGC
This 198-nucleotide ribosomal RNA is filed under the name uncultured bacterium. Its description in RNAcentral is "partial 16S ribosomal RNA". It matches the Rfam family "Bacterial small subunit ribosomal RNA", at positions 326 to 539 of the family's 1533-position model. The record is from RNAcentral.